CUUUGUCAUUGUGAGUUAACUUGUCACUUGCCAUGGCUUCAAUGCAAUGCCAAAAACCCUUUAACCAAGUUUCUCAUGAUGCCCAAGCCAAAUGUGGGGAGCAAUCUACUACAACAAGAUCAAGGAGGUUUGGAAGGGAUGGACAGAACACAAGCAUGAAGAGCAUCACAGCCAAACCCAAACAUAUCAUGUUGGCAAACCCCAAGCCCAUGAGUCACAGGUUGGCUAUGCAUGAAAGCCUCCCACACUAAGCACCAUGGUCUUGGGGCUGGCCUUCUUAACUUUGUCAAGACGAAAAGGCUGAGCACAAUGGUGACAGCAGCAACAGUAGCAGCAGCGAGAGCAAGAGCGAGGACGAGGGUCACUGCAAAUAGAAGGAUUAAGAGGAAUUAAGGGAUUGAAGAAGCAUUACUCUACUAGAUGAUCUCUAGCAAAUAAUGGGAUAUUAGCAAUGAAAUUGCUCUAAUGAUGAAGCUUACCUUCUAAGAAUAAAUGUGACACCCUUCUAUUGUACUACUUAUGCUUUAAAUGAAUAAAACCAAUGAAAUAAAGUUGUGUA
Long non-coding RNA from Macadamia integrifolia, 559 nucleotides. RefSeq lists it as uncharacterized. NCBI's taxonomy places the organism in Eukaryota, Viridiplantae, Streptophyta, Magnoliopsida, Proteales, Proteaceae. The transcript is spliced from 2 exons. The record is from RefSeq and is a predicted model, not a curated record.